AGAUUGAACGCUGGCGGCAUGCCUAACACAUGCAAGUCGAACGGGAGUAGCAAUACUCUAGUGGCGGACGGGUGAGGAAUACGUAGGAAUUUGCCCUUAAGUGGGGGAUAACCCGGGGAAACCCGGAUUAAUACCGCAUGACCUCGAAAGAGCAAAGUGGGGGAUCGCAAGACCUCACGCUUUUGGAGAAGCCUACGUCGGAUUAGCUAGUUGGUGAGGUAAUGGCUCGCCAAGGCGACGAUCCGUAACUGGUCUGAGAGGAUGAUCAGUCACACCGGAACUGAGACACGGUCCGGACUCCGUACGGGAGGCCAGGCGAGUGGGGGAAUAGUUGGACAAGUGGGCGCAAGCCUGAUCCAGCAAUGCCGCGUGUGUGAAGAAGGCCUUGGGUUGUAAG
Molecule: ribosomal RNA, 397 nt
Filed under: uncultured soil bacterium
Lineage: Bacteria
Description: bacterial SSU rRNA
Rfam family: Bacterial small subunit ribosomal RNA
Source: RNAcentral